GACUUGUGGCUGGGGGUGAAAGGCCAAUCAAACCGGGAGAUAGCUGGUUCUCCCCGAAAGCUAUUUAGGUAGCGCCUCGUGAAUUCAUCUUCGGGGGUAGAGCACUGUUUCGGCUAGGGGGUCAUCCCGACUUACCAACCCGAUGCAAACUACGAAUACCGAAGAAUGUUAUCACGGGAGACACACGGCGGGUGCUAACGUCCGUCGUGAAGAGGGAAACAACCCAGACCGCCAGCUAAGGUCCCAAAGUCAUGGUUAAGUGGGAAACGAUGUGGGAAGGCACAGACAGCCAGGAUGUUGGCUUAGAAGCAGCCAUCAUUUAAAGAAAGCGUAAUAGCUCACUGGUCGAGUCGGCCUGCGCGGAAGAUGUAACGGGGCUAAACCAUGCACCGAAGCUGCGGCAGCGACACUAUGUGUUGUUGGGUAGGGGAGCGUUCUGUAAGCCUGCGAAGGUGUGCUGUGAGGCAUGCUGGAGGUAUCAGAAGUGCGAAUGCUGACAUAAGUAACGAUAAAGCGGGUGAAAAGCCCGCUCGCCGGAAGACCA
This 544-nucleotide ribosomal RNA is filed under the name Klebsiella pneumoniae. RNAcentral describes it as "partial 23S ribosomal RNA". It matches the Rfam family "Bacterial large subunit ribosomal RNA", at positions 806 to 1347 of the family's 2925-position model. The record is from RNAcentral. Lineage: Bacteria; Pseudomonadati; Pseudomonadota; Gammaproteobacteria; Enterobacterales; Enterobacteriaceae.